This 253-nucleotide ribosomal RNA is filed under the name uncultured bacterium. Its description in RNAcentral is "partial 16S ribosomal RNA". It matches the Rfam family "Bacterial small subunit ribosomal RNA", at positions 524 to 776 of the family's 1533-position model. The record is from RNAcentral.
UACAGAGGGGGCAAGCGUUGUUCGGAAUUACUGGGCGUAAAGGGCGCGUAGGCGGCCUUCUAAGUCGAACGUGAAAUCCCCGGGCUCAACCCCGGAACGGCAUCCGAUACGGGGCGGCUCGAGACCGAGAGAGGUGAGUGGAAUACCCAGUGUAGAGGUGAAAUUCGUAGAUAUUGGGUGGAACACCGGUGGCGAAAGCGGCUCACUGGCUCGGUUCUGACGCUGAGGCGCGAAAGCGUGGGGAGCAAACGGG